Molecule: long non-coding RNA, 1328 nt
Organism: Cucumis melo (muskmelon)
Lineage: Eukaryota; Viridiplantae; Streptophyta; Magnoliopsida; Cucurbitales; Cucurbitaceae
Exons: 2
Source: RefSeq, a predicted model, not a curated record
UGCAAAUGUGAACGAGAAAACUCCCUUUGUGUUCACAUUUUGGUACCUACUUAGUCUCCAUCCAUUCCAAUAAUAAUUGAUCUAGUUUGAUUAAUUAUUUGUUUUUAUACGCUUAAAAGUUAUGGGUAUGUUUGAAUUGUCUAAAAAGAUUAUAUUUUUAUAGUAUUUUUCACUCUAGAAUUCUUGCUGUUCUUCAUCCACUCUUCAUCAGCAGCUACAUGUCAAACUUCAGACAGAUAUGCUCUGUUACAGUUCAAGAAAACCUUCAUUUCUGAUCCAUAUUUCCUCAGCUUCUCUUCCAAAGAUUGCUUCUCGAGGCGUUGAAGGUGAACCAACCAUAUGACUGCUGUUCAUAAGAUGGCAUCUUAUGCUUUUGGAUUUAUGGGUGAUUUAAAAUAGUAUGGCAGUUAGUUCAAGAAGGUAACCUGCCACUCAAAGCAUCAGUAAUUGGAAUGCCAUGAAGAUUAUUACUACCCCAACUACCAAAUCAUCAAAUAUGAAAGCAAAUAGUACAUGUUUCUUUUUUGCAAAUUAUGCUUGGGCACUUGAGUAUUAUUACUCGAUUACCAUAAUCAAUAAAGGCUAUGAGAGAAGCUUCUCCAAGAUUCAAGAGGCUUUCACCAGUAUGGAUCUCUCAAGCAACAGAUUUGAAGGCGAAAUCCCAGAUGAAAUUGGCGAAUUAAAGGGUCUACAUUCUCUCGGUCUGUCUCACAAUACACUUAGUGGUCGAAUCCUACCGUCUUUAGGGAACAUAACACAGCUUGAAUCUUUGGAUCUUUCAAACAGCAAGCUUUCAGGGGAGAUUCCAGAAACAUUGGCUCAGCUCACUUUCCUUCCAACUUUUACUGUUCCCAAAAUAAACUCUUGGGUCUAAUACCAGAAGGGAAUCAGCUUAACAACAUUGAAAGGAGUUCAUACGAGGGAAGUGAAGGAUUCUGUGGGAAGCCAUUGGGGAAGAAAUGUGGGGAAUAUGAGGCCAAAGACAAAGAGAAGAGAAGCGUCUUUGUUUGAUUUUGGUUGGAAAAAUAGUGUUGAUUGGAUAGCGUUGUGGGGUAUUGUUUGGAAUGAUAGCUGGGAUUUAUGUAAUCAAGAGAAGGGAAGCAUGGUUUUUGAGGAUUUAUAGAGUUUGCACAACCAAAGAUAAAGGUGAAAAGAAGAACAAACAAUUGAAAGAGAUGAUAAAGUUCUUGUUUUUCCACCUUGUAGCUAGAGAUGAUAAGUGAGUUCUGUGAUGUUUUCUAGAAUAGUAAAAAGUGUUUUAAGCACUGAAGUGAAUAUAGCACCACUUCUUCUAAAAGUAUUUAUACAAAUGUUUCACUUUAAAAACA